Molecule: ribosomal RNA, 468 nt
Filed under: uncultured bacterium
Lineage: Bacteria
Description: partial 16S ribosomal RNA
Rfam family: Bacterial small subunit ribosomal RNA
Source: RNAcentral
GACGAACGCUGGCGGCGUGCUUAACACAUGCAAGUCGAACGGAAAGGCCCUGCUUUUGUGGGGUGCUCGAGUGGCGAACGGGUGAGUAACACGUGAGUAACCUGCCCUUGACUUUGGGAUAACUUCAGGAAACUGGGGCUAAUACCGGAUAGGAGCUCCUGCUGCAUGGUGGGAGUUGGAAAGUUUCGGCGGUUGGGGAUGGACUCGCGGCUUAUCAGCUUGUUGGUGGGGUAGUGGCUUACCAAGGCUUUGACGGGUAGCCGGCCUGAGAGGGUGACCGGCCACAUUGGGACUGAGAUACGGCCCAGACUCUUACGGGAGGCAGCAGUGGGGAAUAUUGCACAAUGGGCGGAAGCCUGAUGCAGCAACGCCGCGUGCGGGAUGACGGCCUUCGGGUUGUAAACCGCUUUCGCCUGUGACGAAGCGUGAGUGACGGUAAUGGGUAAAGAAGCACCGGCUAACUACGUG